RNAcentral lists this ribosomal RNA (761 nucleotides) under Stenotrophomonas maltophilia. RNAcentral describes it as "bacterial SSU rRNA". It matches the Rfam family "Bacterial small subunit ribosomal RNA", at positions 771 to 1532 of the family's 1533-position model. The record is from RNAcentral. Lineage: Bacteria; Pseudomonadati; Pseudomonadota; Gammaproteobacteria; Lysobacterales; Lysobacteraceae.
AACAGGAUUAGAUACCCUGGUAGUCCACCGCCGUAAACGAUGUCGACUUGGAGGUGUGCCCUUGAGGCGUGGCUUCCGGAGCUAACGCGUUAAGUCGACCGCCUGGGGAGUACGGCCGCAAGGUUAAAACUCAAAUGAAUUGACGGGGGCCCGCACAAGCGGUGGAGCAUGUGGUUUAAUUCGAUGCAACGCGAAGAACCUUACCUACUCUUGACAUCCAGAGAACUUACCAGAGAUGCUUUGGUGCCUUCGGGAACUCUGAGACAGGUGCUGCAUGGCUGUCGUCAGCUCGUGUUGUGAAAUGUUGGGUUAAGUCCCGCAACGAGCGCAACCCUUAUCCUUUGUUGCCAGCGGUCCGGCCGGGAACUCAAAGGAGACUGCCAGUGAUAAACUGGAGGAAGGUGGGGAUGACGUCAAGUCAUCAUGGCCCUUACGAGUAGGGCUACACACGUGCUACAAUGGCGCAUACAAAGAGAAGCGACCUCGCGAGAGCAAGCGGACCUCAUAAAGUGCGUCGUAGUCCGGAUUGGAGUCUGCAACUCGACUCCAUGAAGUCGGAAUCGCUAGUAAUCGUAGAUCAGAAUGCUACGGUGAAUACGUUCCCGGGCCUUGUACACACCGCCCGUCACACCAUGGGAGUGGGUUGCAAAAGAAGUAGGUAGCUUAACCUUCGGGAGGGCGCUUACCACUUUGUGAUUCAUGACUGGGGUGAAGUCGUAACAAGGUAACCGUAGGGGAACCUGCGGCUGGAUCACCUCCUU